GUGAAGAUGAAGGGGGUUGACACGUUAGCUCGGAGGUGGUUCUGGGUUUUUUUGCCACGUGUAUUAGAGGGAAGGUUUGUUUAUUAAUUCUUGUCGUAACGGGAAAGAAAGAAAAAAAAUGCGGCUUUAAAAUAAGCUUGCUAGGUGUUCGAUGAAAGUUCUGAGCUAGGCUUGUUGCUAUGAAACCGCAUUCAGAAAGAAUGGAGUUGGGCCACGGCCACGGGUUAUUUUACAUUUUCACUACUCGGGCCAAUUGUAAUUUUCUUUCGUUUUCAGACAGUUUAUUUUAUUACAAGACGGAUAAAACUAUUACUAUUUAUUUAUAUGUAAUUAUGUACUGUAUUAUUAAAACAAAAUCACAUAACUCAUUAAAUAAUUUGUUUUAA
Molecule: long non-coding RNA, 386 nt
Organism: Quercus robur (English oak)
Lineage: Eukaryota; Viridiplantae; Streptophyta; Magnoliopsida; Fagales; Fagaceae
Exons: 2
Source: RefSeq, a predicted model, not a curated record